RNAcentral lists this long non-coding RNA (633 nucleotides) under Podarcis muralis (Common wall lizard). RNAcentral's name for it is "lncRNA (ENSPMRG00000007941.1)". The record is from RNAcentral. Lineage: Eukaryota; Metazoa; Chordata; Lepidosauria; Squamata; Lacertidae.
ACCGUGUUGAGUAUAAUUGAUUUAAUUCGCACUGAAAUGGGAAUGUGUAUUGGUGAAAGAGUUUAACUGGAAGAUUCAAUUGAAGCUGAAUUAAAAGCAAAAAGGGCUCUCUGAGCUGCCUUGAUGGGUUGAUAAUUAACUGUUUUUGUUCUCAGGUAGUUCUGAUGUGGUGCUUUAACCUUAGAUCACAUGAGAGGUAAUGAAUUGCAAAUUCACCAUCUUGGAAGGCUGGAGUCCUUUGUUCCCAGGCUCUGUGAGAGUGAGGAUGUAAAUGAAGCUCUCCAGGAGAAGGGUACAGGCUGGAAGAGACAGACCUCUGCUUCCAGAUGUGUGUGUUUCUCGCUUGAAGACUUGGGAAAAUUUGAAGAUGAAGUUCAUCCGUCAAUGACUGCACUAGGUAGUGAUCACUUGCAUGUAUGGAUAAGACACCUCAGCUUGAUACCUGAAGAAAAGCUUUCAGCUGUGCUUUGAACACCCAACUACAGAGACCCCCCCCCCAAAAAAAACCCCCUGCACAUCUAAGAUGAAAAGAACAGUAACAAACUCCCUGAAGGAAAAGUGGGAGAGACAUGAAAUAAAUAAAGCAAUAGCCUACAAUGUAAUUGAGAUUUUGAGAUUUUAAAGAUAUGAGGC